Long non-coding RNA from Phascolarctos cinereus (koala), 442 nucleotides. RefSeq lists it as uncharacterized. NCBI's taxonomy places the organism in Eukaryota, Metazoa, Chordata, Mammalia, Diprotodontia, Phascolarctidae. The record is from RefSeq and is a predicted model, not a curated record.
GUGAAGGCUAUUAAUGUUUUGGUCAGAUCUCUGGCCUGGUUAGUAAGGUCAAAAUGAUCACUGAGGAUCAUCAAUAGGUAAUCUAAAUUAUUAUAACAAAUUUGCUGCCUCACGUCACAGAAAUGAUCCUCGGUUCUUAAAGGUUAAGCCAAUGUAGUACAAGUUCUAGCAGAUUCUAGAAUUCUGGAAAGACUUCCAAGUAUGAUCAUAGUAACAAGAUUGUGCCUGCUACUCAAAGACCAAUCAGGCUUAAGUAUGAAGAAGCUCAUCAACAGAAGGCUAGCCAGGAGCUCAAGAUUCAUAUAACCCUAACAACAACACUGUAAAGAAAAACAACUUUGAAAGACUUAAGAACUCUAAUUAAUGCAACAAGAAAACUCACCUCCAGGAGACCAACAAUGAAGAGGCUCUCCCAUGGUUCCACCAGCCCCCAAGUAUGGAG